Molecule: transfer RNA, 810 nt
Filed under: uncultured cyanobacterium
Lineage: Bacteria; Bacillati; Cyanobacteriota
Description: partial 16S-23S ribosomal RNA intergenic spacer
Rfam family: tRNA (bases 260-332)
Source: RNAcentral
CAGGGAGACAAAACUGAUUGUGAUGCCUGAAUUAUUUAGUUUUAGGCCAUAAUCCUGUCACCUUAGGUCGAUCGGUACCUCAGUUAAAUAUCUAAUUCCUAAGAAUUUAGUUCUAGAAGAUAUUGAAUUCAGUUCCUAAACUUUUUGUCUAGGUCACACCCCGCAAGGGUACUCCUGGGCCAUUAGCUCAGGUGGUUAGAGCGCACCCCUGAUAAGGGUGAGGUCCCUGGUUCAAGUCCAGGAUGGCCCAUUCGGUGUUGGGGGUAUAGCUCAGUUGGUAGAGCGCCUGCUUUGCAAGCAGGAUGUCAGCGGUUCGAGUCCGCUUACCUCCACUGAUCGACUUCCUGAUAACGAGCUUAAGGAGAUUUUUGUUUCACGUGAUCUAGAAUUUGUUCUAUAUGAAAGAACCUAGCUUCUUGUCAUUUCAACUAAAAAUAAUUUUUUUGUUUGAGUGAUAGGACGCUGGGCUCACUGCAAUAACAAAUUGCAGAGAAGUUCAGCAGAACCUUGACAACUGCAUAGGUGAGUCUGGAAAGAAUAAAGCAUCUCAUGGAUGCAUUACUCUUUUGAUCCAAAUGUGAUUAUCUGAUUAAAUCAGAUAAUCAUUUGAUUUAAAGUUUAAUGUUUAAUUCUUGAGCAAGAGCUGAGACUCUAUAACGUCCUUUCAUUGCAUAUUGCAUAGAAAGUUUGAUUCUUAAUUUCACUUCUUAUGGAUAUAGAAGAGUUAGAUUAUUUCUACACUUUAUAUAUCAUUUCGAUAUGAAAUUAAUUAGAAAAGUGUUAACAACACAUAGCGUUUUAGAGGUUAAU